This is a long non-coding RNA of Hemiscyllium ocellatum (epaulette shark), 718 nucleotides long. RefSeq lists it as uncharacterized. Lineage: Eukaryota; Metazoa; Chordata; Chondrichthyes; Orectolobiformes; Hemiscylliidae. The record is from RefSeq and is a predicted model, not a curated record. The transcript has 3 exons.
GUUUAAAAAAAUAGGGGCACGAAGAUGAACUGUGCAGAGAGCCUGCACAGAUACCACAGACUGAGCAGCAUCCACUGCUGUCAUUGUUUUAAGGAGUUAUGAUGCAGGGUUAACCCUGUCAGGGCAGAGACUCUUGAGUUAUUACCUCCAGCUCCAUCCUAUGAUGUGGGAACCACAGGUGCACUCAAAAGUCCGAGUGGGGCCUAAUGAAAGUCUUAUUCAGCUGCAAUGUGACUUGCCAACUUUCAUACUCCAUUCUUUGAUCGAUGAAGGAACAAGGAUGUCUUGGUGAUGAAGAAUUAAGCAACCUGGCAGAGGAGGAUGCAAAUAGGAAUACACAUUUCAAAGGUGAAUAAUGCAGACAGCUGAAAGUGCAGACAAAGACCAAAGCUGCCUCUGGACUUGACUCAGAGCAGGACUGAAUGUGCAAAAGGACAGAGCACUAUCACAUGUUCACUAACUGGCCAGCCAUCCAGGAUGGCGUAAGAAACUGGUCAAAUUACCUAGGAUUUCUCUGAACAACAAUAAGCACCGUGUGAAGAACAAUUACGCAACCAAAACAUAAUGUUAAGCAGCAAUGUAAAACACAAGCAAUUGGUUGUUUUUCCAAUGGCCACACCUACUGUACUCAACAAUUGCAAGUGAUUUGCAGAAAUGUGUAAAUGAUUUGAUGUGUUACUAGACAGUACAUACUGUACAAUGUGUUUUAUAAAUUCUU